Capra hircus (goat) is the source of this 123-nucleotide small nuclear RNA. The record is from Ensembl. Lineage: Eukaryota; Metazoa; Chordata; Mammalia; Artiodactyla; Bovidae.
GUGUUGUAGGAAAGCAAGAUAUUAGCACUUCUCUUCACAAAAAUGGAAGAGGCCCUCAGGUCUGUUCAACAAAUAUAUGGUUAGGGAUUGCCACUUACUUCAUAGCAUCAUUCAUAGAUUUAC